GAUGAACGCUGGCGGCGUGCUUAACACAUGCAAGUCGAACGAACCUUCGGGUUAGUGGCGGACGGGUGAGUAACGCGUGAGAAUCUGCCCUCAGGAGGGGGAUAAACGGCUGGAAACGGCCGCUAAUACCCCCAUAUAGCCGAGAGGUGAAAUGAAAUUCGCCUGAGGAUGAGCUCGCGUCUGAUUAGCUAGUUGGUGGGGUAAUAGCCUACCAAGGCGUCGAUCAGUAGCUGGUCUGAGAGGAUGAUCAGCCACACUGGGACUGAGACACGGCCCAGACUCCUACGGGAGGCAGCAGUGGGAAUUUCGCAAUGGCGAAAGCCUGACGGAGCAACGCCGCGUGAGGGAUGAAGGCCUCUGGGCUGUAAACC
Molecule: ribosomal RNA, 371 nt
Filed under: uncultured bacterium
Lineage: Bacteria
Description: bacterial SSU rRNA
Rfam family: Bacterial small subunit ribosomal RNA
Source: RNAcentral